ACUUCCCUGUAAACAAAGUGCUUCUUCAGAUAUUUGUUUCGAUGUGGGAGGAUGUGAUGGAUAUCUCAGGCAAAGGAAGGUCGAAAAAUUGGCUAACUAAAAAAUGAAAGUCUUUGAAGCAAAUGCAGAGGCAACUCAGUGAAGCUAGCUCAAAAAUGGCUGGGCUUUAAAUGACACCGAUGGCAUACGCUUCAUAGUCUUCACUGAGCAGCAGAAUUCAUUGUGUAAAAAAUAGAAGACCAUAAGAAAAGAAACAAGGAAGCUAUGAUGUGGUGAAAAGACUUGGUGACUAACUUCAACAGUUUUAAAUGUAAUUAAAGACUCUGACUCCAGCAGUUCCCGCAUUUCCUCUUGUUUUGCCAAGACAAAAAGGAUCUUGCACAGUUGACUUAUAUCAUUGUUAUGUAUGUUCUAAUCAGCUGUUGUGCAUGCACAGCCAGAUGCUUUGCUAAGGCCAGUCUGAAAUUUGUUGAGGUUUCCUGUUUUGACUGAUCAGGAUUUUAUCUGCUGUGAAUUGCACCUGAUGCUCUUAAUGCAGUUCUCCCUAGAUAUCAGGUCUUCACUGUCCAUCCUCAGCACUGACAACAUCUGUGCUCAUCUCCUUAUUUAAAUCUGCAAAUGUGCUUCUGCUUUUGAACUCCUAGGUACCUAAAGGUAGUUUACCUUUGAUUAUCAAAUGUCCGAUCUAAAAAUAAAAGUCCAGCAAGUGUAAAACAAUAAAAUGCCACACAUAGGAUUUAGCCUCAUUGUGAAUCUCUCAGCUGCUGCUUUCCAAUUCCUUUGCACUCAAUCAGACUGAUUACUUGGUUGGUCUGUCUGUCUGUCUCUCCCUUUCUCUUUCACUCACACACAUUUGUCACCAUUGCCUUGUACAAACAUAUUCCCUUCAAAGUGAGAAAAUAACGGGAACCUGGUGCAGGUAGGGUGUGGCUAUACAAGAAAUGUGGAAAAGCAGAUUUUUAUUGUGUAUGCCACAGUUCAAUAGAAAAUUCACCAGUUGUGGAGUUAGGGUAUAAACAAAACAGCAGAAAAAGUAGUAUGAGCCUUGGAGAAUACCAAAGAGACUAUUCUCUUUAAAGCAACAAGUUCAUCCUUAGCUAUGUACUGGUAAAUCCUUGGGUACAGAAGGGGAACAGUCAGUGAAAUGUUGCUUAUUGUGGACUCUAACAAUCCUUGCUUCAGUUCCCUCCUAGCCACAAAAUGACAAUGUCCAGAUAAAGAGUAAUGGAUUUCUACAGGCUGGCUUGAACAGCCGAGUCUGUUAUCCAUCUGACAUACCUCUCUUCCGUUUCCUUUACUGGAGAAGAGCAUGGGAUCCACAAUCAUUGUUUUUGUUUGAUUUUUAAAUAUCUAAUAUUUAAACUGAUGCCUAUAUUGUAGGCUGACAAUCAGGUCACUGAUCAGGUCUCUAUACUGUAUUUUACAUAAGCUAAUAAUGAAGAUAAAAACAACUCUUCCAUAAACCAUAUUUAAUUGGAGGUCGUGACUGUUUACAAAGGUGGUUGCAAUUAUUAUUCCAGUUAACCUCUGCAUUUUUUAUAAUUAAAGUAAUUAACCUAACAAUUGACAAGGUUAACAAAGUAUUGUCUUCCUCCCUCCACCUUCCUCUCCCACCCUGCCACAUGCACACAGUUUUCUGUAAAUGGCCCAGUAUGUAAUAACAGGUGGUCAAGACAGCUAACUUAGAGGUCAAGGCUGGGGCAAGCAACAAUUACUGUGCUGCAGAUAUAAGGUUCUGUAUUUGAUUGAAAAGCCAAACUUCUAUUACUUUUUUGCCUCUUCAGUAUCAACUCUAAAAUUAUAAGAGAAUCAGAUGCAAAAAAGCCACCAUGAACACCAAAAGGCUCCCAACAUUUCCCCAGACUGGGGAUACCCAGAUGUCCACUCCCCUCCUGUAGACCAGUCUAGAAACAGAAUGAAGCAGUGAGACAAAACUAAGGUUUCCAUAUUUUCAGUUCCAAAAAAGAGGACACCUGUCGGGGGGACACCUUACUCCCAACCCACAGCCUCCUGCCUCUCACUCCCAACCUGCAGCCCUCCACCCCCAUCCCUACUGCUGCCCCUCACUCCAGACCCACAGUCCCUCACCCUUCCAGGCCAUGCUGUUGCCCCUCACUCCCAACCUGCAGCCCCCAUCCCUGCUGGUGCUCCUCACCCCGACCUGCAAUUCCCCCCAGCUCUGCCAGUACCCCUCACUCUCAGCCCACAGCCCCAUGCUCCCCACAGCCCUGCCCAGCCCAGUGUGGCAACUCCAACUCGUGCAGGCAGUGGUGGAGUAAGCCCGGUCUUGGCACAAGCUGGGGCUCCUGCUUGCAUUAGACAGCCUGGCCAUUGCUCCCUUCCCCCGGCACUGUCUCCUGGUUGCUUCACCCCUGGGAGCACGAGCACCAGCCCCUGUGCUACUGGCCUAGCCACAGAGUUCCCCACUGCUGUCAAAGGACUCCCCCACCCUGUUUCCCCACUGCCUUGCCUUGCUGCAGUUCCAGUCCCAACCCCAGCACCUGGCCACCACUCCCCAGUUCCAUCAGGCACCCACUCGGCCUCACAUAUACAUCCCUUCCACCUAUCCUUGCCACACACACACACACACACACACACACUUAACUGAAUCCACCUGCCGGGGCUGGUCCCACGCCCCUGCCUGACUGCAUGCCGGCCACCUAUGCGUGUGUGUAUGCAGACGCAUGUGAUGCCUUUGCCUCUCAACACCCUCCCCUGCUCCCACCAGUGGAGCAAAGCAAAACAGCAGACAUUUGGUGAUAUUUCAGAAAACUGCCUGGAUGGAAAUCAGAGGACCCAAAAAGAGGACAUGUCCAGGAAAACCGGGACGUAUGGUAACCCUAGGUAAAAUCCUCUGCUUGCUCUUCAGUCUGGGGAGCUGGGAACAAGGAAUCACUGAUCGUCCUCUUAGUCCCCCAUGGCAAAUAGCUAAGCAGAGUGAGCAGAGCAGUAACCUCCAACUACUCAGAUUGGGGGCCCUGGUCAGGGGAGAAAGUGGCAGCUUUGCCCUGUUGUUCCAGUCCCCUAUCUGGACAGGUCAUGUGCCCUUCUCUCCUAGACCCAAGCAGUGAGAGAAUGCCCCUGCCUGUUCCUCUGACUGCCCAGUUCCCAGGCUAGGAAAGUAUGGGGAGGAUUGCCCCAACUUUUUACUUCCCUCCUUGGCCUUACCAGGAGGGGAACAUAUAGGCAUUCCCUCUUACAAGUGAGUUUCUAUUGCAAUGGAGGUUUUCCGGGUUAAUACCUACAAGAUCUUUCUCUUGGAGGGGGCAUAUUUCCCCUGGGAGAAAUUGAAUGCUCAUGCUUGUAUGCUCAUAAUUUCUACAGGGAGAGUGGGAUUCUUUUGGUAGAAACAUAAUGUUUGGACCAGCAAAGCAAAAUCUGGACAUUGAUAACAAGUGACUCAUUCAGACAAAAAGCACUUACAGCAGAUAAUGAUAACUUCUCAGUAAGUGAUCCUUAUAAACACAGUCAUAAUCAUUUGUCCCAGUAAUGAACAAAAAAAUCACAAUUCAAAAAUACAAUAUAGUAACUGAUUAAUAAUGUCUGUGGUUGGGCAACCCUUUAGGCAUCAAGUGCCUGAAACCUGGUAACCUGAAGAACGGCACUUAAUGUCUGAAAGUCUGUCCAACAGCUCUUCCAACUAUUACAGUUUGUCUAAUAAGAUAUUACAAAAAAAUCCUUUCCUAUCAGAUAUUUCCUAGACCACCACAGCUACAACAACACUCCAGCCCUACUACAUCAAUUAAAUCCUUUUUAAAAAAAAUAAGAAUUAAACUUUAUAUGAGUUUUGGUAUAAGACAAAACCAUACCCUUAAACCUCACUUUAGAGGGCAUUACUGCCACUGACCAUUACUACCAGUUUGAACCACUUGCCAAGCACACAAAACCUACAGUUAUUCUCAUACCUACACUAUGGCAUGGAAUAAGUUUGAGAACUAUUCUUUGAGAUCAACUUAAAAGAGUUAAUGGAGAGAAACUAGCAAUGUAAAAUAGGAAGAUAUUUAUGGUUAAGGAACAGAAUAAAGUGAUAUAGUAAAAAAAGAAAGCAGAAAUGAAGCAGAAGAAAUUAAAAUAAACAGAGAAAAGGGUAUAUAUGCUGGUUGGAUGGCUUGCUUCUGCACAUAAAAUGCUUUAUAGUCUUAUGUUUAAAAGGAGCUGUCCAAGUAGCCUAGAAAAUUAUGCUGCUGUAAAAGUUAAGGACCAUCUUUUAUUGCUUUUAAAAGUGCAUUUUACUGGUAUAAUGUGGUAUACUUACAAUCUUAAUUUAGGGAAAAGAGUAAGAAAUUGCACAAACUGUAAAUUUUGAAUGGCUUUAACAUAUAAGUUACAAGAGGUUUAAAGAUGGAGCAGUAGAGUCAGAUUGUUUUAAAUAUUGGGAAAUGGACUGCCAAUGUUAAAAUAAAAAUUAAGCCAUAGAAUGCAAAAAUAGUGUAUUUCUGAGGAAAGUUGAUGGUUAUAAAUUGAGUAUGGUUUUGAUUAUACUUUGUAUGUAAAAAAAAUUACUUUACUACUGUUAAAAAUAAACACAAGUCAAACAGUA
Long non-coding RNA from Alligator mississippiensis (American alligator), 4540 nucleotides. RefSeq lists it as uncharacterized. The record is from RefSeq and is a predicted model, not a curated record. The transcript has 2 exons. Lineage: Eukaryota; Metazoa; Chordata; Crocodylia; Alligatoridae.